UGCAGGUUCGGGACGGGAAGAAGAUCGCCGCGUUGGGUGCGGCGCUGCGGCCGUUUCCGGCGGUGGCUGCCCGGUUCGAUGUCGGGGACUGCUC
Molecule: transfer RNA, 94 nt
Filed under: Rhodococcus sp. 66b
Lineage: Bacteria; Bacillati; Actinomycetota; Actinomycetes; Mycobacteriales; Nocardiaceae
Description: tRNA-Pro
Source: RNAcentral